AUGCAUUCAGAUCAAGUCAAGUUUGCAUUAUCAUUGCCUUCUGGUAAAAAUAAUCAAAAGAUAAAUGAAGUAGACAAGGUGGAAACAAACAAUGACAAAAAUAUAGUUUUAGAAGAAAAUCAUUUACAUGGAGAACUAUACUACAAUAGUGCAUUCCUGACUCAUAUCAAUAAUACUCAAUCUCUGAGACAGUCUGAGGAGCUUAUAAAACAAAAAAAUAUUUCAUUGCCAUUCUGUGGAAAUGUGCCUGAAAGAAGGAACCAUGCAGCACUUUAUAGGUCAAAACCUCAACCUAAUAUAAAUGAUUUGGAUAAAAAAUGUAUCUCGGAUAUGCAUCAUCACGGUAGCAGCAGCCAAACCAAUUACAUGAAUUUGCAGGGAAGUUCAAGUGGCUUGUCUCACAUUAUUCCUUCACCUCUUGAAUUUAACAGUGAAGGUAACAUAGAGUUUAAGUCAAUGCUGCUUAUUGACAAGACUAAACCUGAAGAAACCGUAUAUGAUGCUGAUAUGGAGUUGACUGCCAGUGAUGCAGGUGAGCUGCUCACAGUUACAUCAAAAGACAAAGAUAAGCUACAUCAAAAUAAAAACAAUAAUGCCAAUUCUGAUAAAAUAUUGGGAAAUUUCAGAAGAGUAAAAUAUUCUAAAAAUGAUAAAGAGAAAAUGAAAAGCAAGACUGAAGUCAGUUCAGAUUUGUAUGCAGAAGAAAGGCACACCAGGGCUGACAAGAGCAAAGUUUCAAAAAUUACUGAGUCACAAACGCAGCUAUUCCAAAGUCAGACAGAACAGCAACCUACGAAGAAAUCUUUACAGAAGCAGAAUUUGCCAAAUACUAAUGACUAUUAUGAAGCACAAAAUUGUCCAAGUAAAACUAGAGAUACUAGGACAUGCCUAAUUAAACUAGCACAUCCAAGAAAAAAAGAACAAGAGAAAAAUAAAGAAACUUUCUCAGAAACAUAUGAAGAAUUGGAAACCAAAAUAAAAGCAGACUCAGAUUCAUCUAAUAGCAAGAUCUCUUCUCAAGUUUAUUGUGCUGAAAGUUUACUGUUUCAGGAUAACACCUCUAAUGUAUUACCUUUACAGCAGGAAUUUCCAAGUGAAAAUGCAAAGCAUAUCAGACCACAAAUAAACAGGAAACCCCUUCAAAACCCUUCUAAAAUAAUCACAGCAAAAUGCUGUGGAGUGGAAAACGGGCAGUAUGGAGAAUAUGGUUCAAAAAUGUCUCAAACAGAGAGGUGCCAAGAUGACAGAAAGAAAAAACAAGACCAGAAGAAUACUAUAAAGAGUAAAUGCAAUAAAAAAGGUAGCCUUUUCCAGGAAGAUCUUUCCAAUUUGGAGCUCCAAGCUCUUGAUAACCCUAAAUUCCAUUCUUCCGUCAACCUCUGCAUGCUGAGAAACUCUGAAAUCUGGGGGAAAAAUAAUCAAGAUAAAGCACUGGAUGUUGGAAAAGCAGAGCAAAAGGUGGAUCGUAUUUCUAGAGAGACUUUUGAAAAGACUCUGGCACCUGGUCAUGGGAGAACAGCUUUUCAAGAUCUGACAAAUACCAGUGUAUGUUCUCAUGCUUCUUUACCUACAUGCCCUAAAGUUUUAGAAGAAAAUUCAGCAGCACCAGCUAGAGGAGGAAGACCCAAAAUUUGCUACAAAGAGCCCGGUCUAAGAUGCAAAUUAAGGCGUGGGGAUCCGUUUACAGAUACGCAAUUUCUGCAUUUCCCAGUUUAUAAAGUAAAAAAUAGAAGAAGUUUUAAAAGUAAAUCAAAAAUCAUUUGAAGAAGACAGGAGAAAUGCCUUUAUGAACAGUACUUCUAAAAUGGGUACUUUUUUUUCAGAAAGUAAAAAAAAAUAAAAAUGUAGUAUAGAAUGUUUACUUGGUUUUG
RNAcentral lists this long non-coding RNA (1871 nucleotides) under Anas platyrhynchos platyrhynchos (common mallard). RNAcentral describes it as "lncRNA (ENSAPLG00000019699.1)". The record is from RNAcentral. Lineage: Eukaryota; Metazoa; Chordata; Aves; Anseriformes; Anatidae.